AAGUCGUAACAAGGUUUCCGUAGGUGAACCUGCGGAAGGAUCAUUAAUGAAAUAACUAUGGCGUUGGUUGUAGCUGGCUCUUAGGAGCAUGUGCACGCCCGUCAUUCUUAUCUUUCCACCUGUGCACCUAAUGUAGGUCUGGAUAACUCUCGCUCACAUCGAGCGGAUGCAGAGAUUGCUGUGUCGAAAGAUCAGCUCUCUUUGAAUUUCCAGGUCUAUGUACAUUUACAAACUCCAAUUGUAUGAUAACGAAUGUAGUCAAUGGGCUUUCAAGCCUAUAAAACAAAAUACAACUUUCAGCAACGGAUCUCUUGGCUCUC
Molecule: unclassified non-coding RNA, 320 nt
Filed under: Psathyrella maculata
Lineage: Eukaryota; Fungi; Basidiomycota; Agaricomycetes; Agaricales; Psathyrellaceae
Description: partial internal transcribed spacer region
Rfam family: Eukaryotic small subunit ribosomal RNA (bases 1-46)
Source: RNAcentral